RNAcentral lists this non-coding RNA (45 nucleotides) under Schistosoma mattheei. The record is from RNAcentral. Lineage: Eukaryota; Metazoa; Platyhelminthes; Trematoda; Strigeidida; Schistosomatidae.
AUCCAGAUGAGGAGUCCCAAACAGGACGAAACGCGCGUCCUGGAU